Ananas comosus (pineapple) is the source of this 1000-nucleotide long non-coding RNA. RefSeq lists it as uncharacterized. NCBI's taxonomy places the organism in Eukaryota, Viridiplantae, Streptophyta, Magnoliopsida, Poales, Bromeliaceae. The transcript has 7 exons. The record is from RefSeq and is a predicted model, not a curated record.
UCUCUCUUUCUCUCUCUAAAACUUCUCUCCAUUUUUGAGUAGAAGUUAAUGGAAUUAACUCCUUUCUCUUCUCCUCUUCAUGUUGGCUGAGGUGGUGAGCUGGGAGGGAGCUGCGGAUGAGGUGAAAGGGAAUCUUUGGUGGUCUUUAACUUCAACCCUAAUUCAGGAAUGGGCUGGGAUUAAGCUUCGAAUGCUGAGUUCAAGAAAGUUUACAAAGGCCGUAGAAUGAGUAUCUUGGGCUGUGACUAUCGAUUUUAAUCCAAGAGUAAGCUGGAUUAGGAUUUUAAGAAGCAGUUUUAAUUAUCACUUUGAGCUGAAUAUAGGGGCAAUUGAGAGCUGAUUUGGGAUGCUCCAACUAAGUGGAAUGGAGAUUGAGCUCUAGACUAAACCUGGGUUCGCAGCAGGUUUGCGACAGAUUGUUGAAGUAAUCUCAGCUGACUUUUAGGAGCUUUCGAAGGUUAAACUUGGUGCUUUAACCUAAACCGAAACAGGGAUUUAAGCUAUAGCAUUGUACAAGGGUUGAGUCUUAAUCUAAACCUAGAGGACUUGGAGACUCCAAAUUCCUGUAGUUGUAAGUGACUAAGAGUCGUGACUAGUAGCUUGCAUGCCAAUUGUGCUCUUUCGCACAUGCUUGUGGGGGUCGCGCCCCCCCCAAGCCAGCGCUCCGGAGUGGCUUAGCGACAGAUUGCUCGCUUAUGUACGAAUUUGAGCGCCGAAGUGGAUUGCUGUGGGUAGUGUUGACUUCCACGGGGCCAUUAGGCACGGCGUGGCUAAAACUUUACUAUGUAGCCUUCCACGGUGGGAAAGGCUAGGGAUUCCUGGCAAGGGAUCAACGGUUAAAUAGAUCCUCCUCGAUGUUAAAUAGAUGAAUCUCUAUUGAUUUAAUUUGGUUUAGCUAAGUGAUGUAUUCUGGAAUUAUGUAAAAUGUUCUUUACUUUUCAAUUGUAAUAAGGUUUUGGGUUCUAUAAGUUUACUAUACUUUUAAGUUGUGCUCUGAUUA